RNAcentral lists this ribosomal RNA (497 nucleotides) under uncultured bacterium. RNAcentral describes it as "partial 16S ribosomal RNA". It matches the Rfam family "Bacterial small subunit ribosomal RNA", at positions 28 to 507 of the family's 1533-position model. The record is from RNAcentral.
GAUGAACGCUGGCGGCGUGCCUAAUACAUGCAAGUCGAGCGAACAGAUAAGGAUCUUGCUCCUUUGAAGUUAGCGGCGGACGGGUGAGUAACACGUGGGUAACCUACCUAUAAGACUGGGAUAACUUCGGGAAACCGGAGCUAAUACCGGAUAACAUUUAGAACCGCAUGGUUCUAAAGAGAAAGAUGGUUUUGCUAUCACUUAUAGAUGGACCCGCGCCGUAUUAGCUAGUUGGUAAGGUAACGGCUUACCAAGGCGACGAUACGUAGCCGACCUGAGAGGGUGAUCGGCCACACUGGAACUGAGACACGGUCCAGACUCCUACGGGAGGCAGCAGUAGGGAAUCUUCCGCAAUGGGCGAAAGCCUGACGGAGCAACGCCGCGUGAGUGAUGAAGGGUUUCGGCUCGUAAAACUCUGUUAUUAGGGAAGAACAAAUGUGUAAGUAACUGUGCACAGCUUGACGGUACCUAAUAAGAAAGCCACGGCUAACUACGUG